Molecule: ribosomal RNA, 404 nt
Filed under: Verrucomicrobiota bacterium
Lineage: Bacteria; Pseudomonadati; Verrucomicrobiota
Description: Verrucomicrobia bacterium partial 16S ribosomal RNA
Rfam family: Bacterial small subunit ribosomal RNA
Source: RNAcentral
UGGGGAAUAUUGCACAAUGGGCGCAAGCCUGAUGCAGCAACGCCGCGUGAACGAUGAAGGUCUUCGGAUCGUAAAGUUCUGUUGCAGGGGAAGAUAAUGACGGUACCCUGUGAGGAAGCCCCGGCUAACUACGUGCCAGCAGCCGCGGUAAUACGGAGGAUGCGAGCGUUAUCCGGAAUUAUUGGGUUUAAAGGGUGCGUAGGUUGCAAGGGAAGUCAGGGGUGAAAAGCUGUAGCUCAACUAUGGUCUUGCCUUUGAAACUCUCUAGCUAGAGUGUACUGGAGGUACGUGGAACGUGUGGUGUAGCGGUGAAAUGCAUAGAUAUCACACAGAACUCCGAUUGCGCAGGCAGCGUACUACAUUACAACUGACACUGAAGCACGAAAGCGUGGGUAUCAAACAGG